This 238-nucleotide long non-coding RNA is filed under the name Brassica napus (rape). RNAcentral's name for it is "long non-coding RNA (BNAP_LNC017049)". Lineage: Eukaryota; Viridiplantae; Streptophyta; Magnoliopsida; Brassicales; Brassicaceae. The record is from RNAcentral.
CAUUUGAUUUAUAUGCGCACACCAAUUUACUACAUAAUAAUAACUGAUUUCUUAGUUAUUUAAUAUAAAAUUAUUAUUUUAUUAUUUCAUAAUAUGCAGAAAAAUAUAAAAUAAAUAAUAAAUAUAAAAUAUUUAUUCUACACAAGGCGCAUAUAUUAACCUAAGUAUAUAUCUCUUUAAUAAUUUUAAAUCUCAAACAUUUUCUAAAUCUCAGGCCAAAACAAAAUAACGAAAUGAG